RNAcentral lists this ribosomal RNA (536 nucleotides) under uncultured archaeon. RNAcentral's name for it is "bacterial SSU rRNA". It matches the Rfam family "Archaeal small subunit ribosomal RNA", at positions 464 to 997 of the family's 1478-position model. The record is from RNAcentral.
GCCGCGGGAACACCGGCGGCCGAGUGGUGAUCGUGAUUAUUGGGUCUAAAGGGUCCGUAGCCGGUUUGGUCAGUCCUCCGGGAAAUCUGAUAGCUCAACUAUUAGGCUUUCGGGGGAUACUGCCAGACUUGGAACCGGGAGAGGUAGGAGGUACUACAGGGGUAGGAGUGAAAUCUUGUAAUCCCUGUGGGACCACCUGUGGCGAAGGCGUCUUACCAGAACGGGUUCGACGGUGAGGGACGAAAGCUGGGGGGCACGAACCGGAUUAGAUACCCGGGUAGUCCCAGCCGUAAACGAUGCUCGCUAGGUGUCAGGCAUGGCGCGACCGUGUCUGGUGCCGCAGGGAAGCCGUGAAGCGAGCCACCUGGGAAGUACGGCCGCAAGGCUGAAACUUAAAGGAAUUGGCGGGGGAGCACAACAACGGGUGGAGCCUGCGGUUUAAUUGGACUCAACGCCGGACAACUCACCGGGGGCGACAGCAAUAUGUAGGCCAAGCUGAAGACUUUGCCUGAAUCGCUGAGAGAGGUGGUGCAUGG